UCAUUAAAGGAAAUGCAAGCUCUGGCAUAAAGUUUCAACUGUGAGCUAAAUAUUCCAUACGAGAUGCUGCAUGAAUGCUGUUACAUAAAAAGGGAAAGUUCAUUAUUUGGAAGCUGACAUAGUUCUAAUUUUGUACCAACCGCCUUCAAACAUCAAUUCCUGGAUGUAAAUCAAGAUAUGAUGCAAGUAAAUUAUUUUAAUUGGACUGUACAUUUUUAAAUGGUAAUUGAUAAAUCUUUUACUUUUCAGUACACAUAUAAAAAAGAUUAGGUAUGAAUGCUAAUGAGACAACUCUCCACAAGUGACUAAAACGACACAGACAUUAACUGGCCUUCAACGAUGAGCAAAACCCAUACCGCAUAGUCAGCAUUAAAGACCCCG
This 381-nucleotide long non-coding RNA is filed under the name Mytilus galloprovincialis (Mediterranean mussel). The record is from RNAcentral. Lineage: Eukaryota; Metazoa; Mollusca; Bivalvia; Mytilida; Mytilidae.